This 332-nucleotide ribosomal RNA is filed under the name uncultured eukaryote. Its description in RNAcentral is "partial 18S ribosomal RNA". It matches the Rfam family "Eukaryotic small subunit ribosomal RNA", at positions 1470 to 1796 of the family's 1831-position model. The record is from RNAcentral.
CCCUUAGAUGUCCGGGGCCGCACGCGCGCUACACUGAAGGAAUCAGCGUGGCUUUCUCCCUGACCCGAAAGGGUUGGGAAACCCGUUGAAUCUCCUUCGUGAUAGGGAUUGGGGCUUGAAAUUGUUCCCCAUGAACGAGGAAUUCCUAGUAAAUGCAAGUCAUCAGCUUGCGUUGAUUACGUCCCUGCCCUUUGUACACACCGCCCGUCGCUACUACCGAUUGAAUGGUUUAGUGAGAUCUCCGGAUUGGCUCUGUAGGUCCCGCAAGGGAUUUAUUAGUAGCCAAGAAGCUGCUCAAACUUGAUCAUUUAGAGGAAGUAAAAGUCGUAACA